GACGAACGCUGGCGGCGUGCUUAACACAUGUAAGUCGAACGGAAAGGCCCUGCUUUUGUGGGGUGCUCGAGUGGCGAACGGGUGAGUAACACGUGAGUAACCUGCCCUUGACUUUGGGAUAACUUCAGGAAACUGGGGCUAAUACCGGAUAGGAGCUCCUGCUGCAUGGUGGGGGUUGGAAAGUUUCGGCGGUUGGGGAUGGACUCUCGGCUUAUCAGCUUGUUGGUGGGGUAGUGGCUUACCAAGGCUUUGACGGGUAGCCGGCCUGAGAGGGUGACCGGCCACAUUAGGACUGAGAUACGGCCCAGACUCCUACGGGAGGCAGCAGUGGGGAAUAUUGCACAAUGGGCGGAAGCCUGAUGCAGCAACGCCGCGUGCGGGAUGACGGCCUUCGGGUUGUAAACCGCUUUCGCCUGUGACGAAGCGUGAGUGACGGUAAUGGGUAAAGAAGCACCGGCUAGCUACGUG
Molecule: ribosomal RNA, 468 nt
Filed under: uncultured bacterium
Lineage: Bacteria
Description: partial 16S ribosomal RNA
Rfam family: Bacterial small subunit ribosomal RNA
Source: RNAcentral